This 443-nucleotide ribosomal RNA is filed under the name uncultured bacterium. Its description in RNAcentral is "partial 16S ribosomal RNA". It matches the Rfam family "Bacterial small subunit ribosomal RNA", at positions 338 to 795 of the family's 1533-position model. The record is from RNAcentral.
CCUACGGGGGGCAGCAGUGGGGAAUAUUGGACAAUGGGGGGAACCCUGAUCCAGCGACGCCGCGUGAGUGAAGAAGUAUUUCGGUAUGUAAAGCUCUAUCAGCAGGGAAGAAAGAAAUGACGGUACCUGACUAAGAAGCCCCGGCUAACUACGUGCCAGCAGCCGCGGUAAUACGUAGGGUGCAAGCGUUAUCCGGAUUUACUGGGUGUAAAGGGAGCGUAGACGGCGAUGCAAGUCUGAAGUGAAAGGCGGGGGCCCAACCCCUGGACUGCUUUGGAAACUGUAUGGCUGGAGUGCAGGGGAGGUAAGUGGAAUUCCUAGUGUAGCGGUGAAAUGCGUAGAUAUUAGGAGGAACACCAGUGGCGAAGGCGGCUUACUGGACUGUAACUGACGUUGAGGCUCGAAAGCGUGGGGAGCAAACAGGAUUAGAUACCCUUGUAGUC